AAGGAUUGUAAAAUCAACUUAAUAAACACUUCUUUGCCUCCCUGAGAAAGUAGUCGAGUACUCCAACUGUCCACCCAGCCUCUAAAUCUAUCUCGUAAACCUUGAAAAGUUUCCCUCUUACUUCUCACAACCAUGGUAGGCAAACUCAAAUAUCUCUUAAUAUUCCAUGUCCUCAGAACCCCAAGCAACUGAACAAUCAUAUCACAGCAAUUCUCGAAACAUUUGAGCUAAAGAAAAC
Molecule: long non-coding RNA, 238 nt
Filed under: Gossypium barbadense (sea-island cotton)
Lineage: Eukaryota; Viridiplantae; Streptophyta; Magnoliopsida; Malvales; Malvaceae
Description: long non-coding RNA (GBAR_LNC008983)
Source: RNAcentral